GAUGAACGCUGGCGGCGUGCCUAAUACAUGCAAGUCGAGCGAACGGACGAGAAGCUUGCUUCUCUGAUGUUAGCGGCGGACGGGUGAGUAACACGUGGAUAACCUACCUAUAAGACUGGGAUAACUUCGGGAAACCGGAGCUAAUACCGGAUAAUAUUUUGAGCCGCAUGGUUCAAAAGUGAAAGACGGUCUUGCUGUCACUUAUAGAUGGAUCCGCGCUGCAUUAGCUAGUUGGUAAGGUAACGGCUUACCAAGGCAACGAUGCAUAGCCGACCUGAGAGGGUGAUCGGCCACACUGGAACUGAGACACGGUCCAGACUCCUACGGGAGGCAGCAGUAGGGAAUCUUCCGCAAUGGGCGAAAGCCUGACGGAGCAACGCCGCGUGAGUGAUGAAGGUCUUCGGAUCGUAAAACUCUGUUAUUAGGGAAGAACAUAUGUGUAAGUAACUGUGCACAUCUUGACGGUACCUAAUCAGAAAGCACGGCUAACUACGUG
Molecule: ribosomal RNA, 496 nt
Filed under: uncultured bacterium
Lineage: Bacteria
Description: partial 16S ribosomal RNA
Rfam family: Bacterial small subunit ribosomal RNA
Source: RNAcentral